Molecule: unclassified non-coding RNA, 297 nt
Filed under: Hevea brasiliensis (rubber tree)
Lineage: Eukaryota; Viridiplantae; Streptophyta; Magnoliopsida; Malpighiales; Euphorbiaceae
Source: RNAcentral
UUGUUGCGCAUCACCAGCGCGGCCUUGCCGGUGAACGCUGCGAAUUUCACGUUGCCGUUGACGCCGUCCGCGAUAUGCCGCGCCAGGGUGGUCUUGCCGGUGCCGGCAUAGCCGAACAGCCGGAACACCGGCGGCGNNNNNNNNNNNNGCCCGGCUUGGCCUUGAGCCAGUCGGCGACGGCGCGGAGCGCCUGAUCCUGAUGCAGCGUGAAGGUGGUCAUCGUGAUGUGCUGGAUACUUCAAAUAAAGUGGACCGCAAGCGGAUAAGGUGCCGCAAGCGGGGCACAUGUGCAUACCU